This 18-nucleotide ribosomal RNA is filed under the name Mucor racemosus. RNAcentral's name for it is "partial 28S ribosomal RNA". RNAcentral also lists the same sequence under 2 other names. The record is from RNAcentral. Lineage: Eukaryota; Fungi; Mucoromycota; Mucoromycetes; Mucorales; Mucoraceae.
AUUUGAUCUGAAAUCAGG